GACGAACGCUGGCGGCGUGCUUAACACAUGCAAGUCGAACGGAAAGGCCCUGCUUUUGUGGGGUGCUCGAGUGGCGAACGGGUGAGUAACACGUGAGUAACCUGCCCUUGACUUUGGGAUAACUUCAGGAAACUGGGGCUAAUACCGGAUAGGAGCUCCUGCUGCAUGUUGGGGGUUGGAAAGUUUCGGCGGUUGGGGAUGGACUCGCGGCUUAUCAGCUUGUUGGUGGGGUAGUGGCUUACCAAGGCUUUGACGGGUAGCCGGCCUGAGAGGGUGACCGGCCACAUUGGGACUGAGAUACGGACCAGACUGCUACGGGAGGCAGCAGUGGAGAAUAUUGCACAAUGGGCGGAAGCGUGAUGCAGCAACGCCGCGUGCGGGAUGACGGCCUUCGGGUUGUAAACCGCUUUCGCCUGUGACGAAGCGUGAGUGACGGUAAUGGGUAAAGAGGCACCGGCUAACUACGUG
RNAcentral lists this ribosomal RNA (468 nucleotides) under uncultured bacterium. RNAcentral describes it as "partial 16S ribosomal RNA". It matches the Rfam family "Bacterial small subunit ribosomal RNA", at positions 28 to 507 of the family's 1533-position model. The record is from RNAcentral.